GACGAACGCUGGCGGCGUGCUUAACACAUGCAAGUCGAACGGAACGGCCCCUUUGGGGGUCCUCGAGUGGCGCACGGGUGCGUAACACGUGCGUAACCUGCACUUGACUUCGGGAUAACUUCAGGAAACUGGGGCUAAUACCGGAUAGGAAUACUUGCUGCAUGGUGGGGGUUGGAAAGCUUCGGCGGUUUUGGAUGGACUCGCGGCUCAUCAGCUUGUUGGUGGGGUAGUGGCUUACCAAGGCUUCGACGGGUAGCCGGACUGAGAGGGCGACCGGCCACAGUGAGACUGGGAUACGGCCAAGACCCCGACGGGUAGCAGCAGUGGGGAAGAUUGCACAAGGGGCGGAAGCCAGAUGCUGAUACGGCGCGGGCGGGAUGACGGACUUCGGUUUGUGAUCCGCUUUCAGCAGGGGCGGAGCUUGUGGUGACGGUACCUGCAGAAGAAGCACCGGCUAACUACGUG
This 465-nucleotide ribosomal RNA is filed under the name uncultured bacterium. RNAcentral describes it as "partial 16S ribosomal RNA". It matches the Rfam family "Bacterial small subunit ribosomal RNA", at positions 28 to 507 of the family's 1533-position model. The record is from RNAcentral.